GAUGAACGCUAGCGGGAGGCCUAACACAUGCAAGCCGAGCGGUAGAGUUUCUUCGGAAACUUGAGAGCGGCGCACGGGUGCGUAACACGUGUGCAACCUACCUUUAUCUGGGGGAUAGCCUUUCGAAAGGAAGAUUAAUACCCCAUAAUAUAAUGAUUGGCAUCAAUUAUUAUUGAAAACUCCGGUGGAUAGAGAUGGGCACGCGCAAGAUUAGAUAGUUGGUGGGGUAACGGCUCACCAAGUCAAUGAUCUUUAGGGGUCCUGAGAGGGAGAUCCCCCACACUGGUACUGAGACACGGACCAGACUCCUACGGGAGGCAGCAGUGAGGAAUAUUGGACAAUGGGUGAGAGCCUGAUCCAGCCAUCCCGCGUGAAGGAUGACGGUCCUAUGGAUUGUAAACUUCUUUUGUACAGGGAUAAACCUACCCUCGUGAGGGUAGCUGAAGGUACUGUACGAAUAAGCACCGGCUAACUCCGUG
This 479-nucleotide ribosomal RNA is filed under the name uncultured bacterium. RNAcentral describes it as "partial 16S ribosomal RNA". It matches the Rfam family "Bacterial small subunit ribosomal RNA", at positions 28 to 507 of the family's 1533-position model. The record is from RNAcentral.